GGUCAAGUUAUUAAGGGUGCAGGGCGGAUGCCUUGGCACUAGGAGCCGAUGAAGGACGUGAUAAGCUGCGAUAAGCUUCGGGGAGUUGCACGUAAACUUUGAUCCGAAGAUUUCCGAAUGAGGAAACUCACUUAGAGUAAUGUCUAAGUAUCAUUAAGUGAAUACAUAGCUUAAUGAGGGGAACUCAGGGAACUGAAACAUCUAAGUACCUGAAGGAAGAGAAAGAAAUUCGAUUCCGUAAGUAGCGGCGAGCGAACGCGGAUUAGCCCAAACCAAUAAAGUUUUCUUUAUUGGGGUUGCGGACAUAUCAUAACGAAGAGGUAUCGUAAUUGAAGAGGUUUGGAAAGACCCACCACAGAAGGUAAUAGUCCUGUAUGUUAAACGAGAAGACUUUAGAUAUGAUCCAGAGUACCACGGGACACGUGA
This 426-nucleotide ribosomal RNA is filed under the name Clostridioides difficile. Its description in RNAcentral is "partial 23S ribosomal RNA". It matches the Rfam family "Bacterial large subunit ribosomal RNA", at positions 1 to 429 of the family's 2925-position model. The record is from RNAcentral. Lineage: Bacteria; Bacillati; Bacillota; Clostridia; Peptostreptococcales; Peptostreptococcaceae.